This is a long non-coding RNA of Papilio polytes (common Mormon), 1692 nucleotides long. RefSeq lists it as uncharacterized. The transcript has 2 exons. Lineage: Eukaryota; Metazoa; Arthropoda; Insecta; Lepidoptera; Papilionidae. The record is from RefSeq and is a predicted model, not a curated record.
UUUACCUUAUACGUUAAUCUGAUUACAAUAAAAAAACUGAAUUUGUAGAAAUAGUAUAUAAAAAUCCAGUCAUUAAACAAAGAACAAAGACAGCAACAUCUUGGAAUACGAGUAAUACACAGGAUCUGCAGUUUUAGAUGGCACGUCGGUAAGAAGAGAACACAUGUUCCAGAAGUGCCAAGUUACAAGGUAUAUUCAAUACGAGAUCAUUGAUACUAGAAGGGGGAAUAAAAUGAUAUUGUGUCGAGGUUUCACGUAUUGCAAAUCGUCAACAAAUAUCUGGCUUUGCUCCUCCAGAUGUACGAUCAGCGGGUGCCAUGCGAGAAUCAAAUUUGUUGGAGGUGUUAUUGACGAGAUGCUAUCAAACUUUACACAUACACACGCACCACCAAAACUGUAUAAGCACUAUGGAAAAUAUAUCAGAGUUUAGAUAUUAUAAAGGCGGAUAACAAAUUAUAUUCAAUUCCCACUUAUGGUCGAAUAUUCUAGAGCUAAUUAACACGUUUGUUCAGUGUUAUUACAAUUACUAAUUGCAUAUGUUAUAUCCAUUCAUGUUUAAAUUUUCAAUUUUCUAUCUUUAUCCACAACGAAGUUAUAAGGAUGUCAAAAAUGCCUUGAAUCGCUUCAAAAAAUGAAUGUUUGUACAUGCUCGCUCGGUAGAUAAUGGAUAUAUUUCAAGAACCAUGCUUUCUAAGAAUCGAAAUUGAAUCAUUGAAAUCUUUUAUUUUAACCUUCCAUCUGUUUCUUAAUUAUUAAGUUUUAGUUAUCUUCUAUAUUUUGAUUUCUUUGAUCAUUUCUCUUAACAUGAUUAUGUUUGUUUAAGGAAUCCCAUAUAAGAAGAUUUCUUCCCGUUUUGGCACAGAUUUGAUACUCUGCCUAGGAUAUACGUAUACCAGGUCGUCAGCACAUGUAUGGCUAUGUUCGUCCAGGACCAACGCGAAGUGUCCAGGCAAGAUCAGAUUUAGAGGCAAUAACAUCGACCCUGAAUAUUCAAAUUUCGAACAUACACAUAAUGCGCCUAAUUUUGUGACUUUGGGAGACAAUUACAUUAGAGUUUAGUGAUUUUCGACGCUUUCAGGAACUGUAGGACUGUUAUUAAAUAAUCUCUGUGUUUUUAUGUCGCCAGUAUUUUUUUAUAUUUAUAUUUGGGUUUGUGUUUAUUUGUUUACUUAUUUUACCAACACAGUUGAAAAAAAAUGUUUAAAACUUGGCUAAGAUCUAGAAUAAAGAUCUAAUUAUUUUUUUAAGAUUUAGAAUUUAAGUUUUUUUUUUUUAUAUUUAAACUAUCUACCAGUUUAAUUUACUGUAUCUAACAUUCACUAAUUUUUACGUUAGUUUGAAUUUCUUUUUGUCACCCUUAUAUCGGCAUAGUCGACGGCAACGGAAAUGAGAAGUUUUACUUACAUGUAUAUGUCCCUGACUGUCAUUUUUGUCUAUGUAUUCUUUUUUAACUUUUAGUUUUUACAUUGAUUAAAAGCAUGUCUGUUUUAAAUACGUUAAUUGAUUACUGCUUUAUACAGGUAACAUUGCUUUAAUGGGUUUUCUAUAAUUUCUCAUUUCAAACUUGACAAAAUUGACUAGAUCCGUCCAUUGUAAUUGAUUGAUCUCAUUUUAACGGUUUAGUAUUCAAGUUAUAUUCAGCCACAAAGAGCUGUAGCGAUCAGAGUAUAAAUUGUAAGUUUUUGUGCGUUA